This 496-nucleotide ribosomal RNA is filed under the name uncultured bacterium. RNAcentral describes it as "partial 16S ribosomal RNA". It matches the Rfam family "Bacterial small subunit ribosomal RNA", at positions 30 to 523 of the family's 1533-position model. The record is from RNAcentral.
AUUGAACGCUGGCGGAAUGCUUUACACAUGCAAGUCGAACGGUAGAGGGGGCAACCCCUCGAGAGUGGCGAACGGGUGAGUAAUAUAUCGGAACGUGCCCAGUCGUGGGGGAUAACGUAGCGAAAAUUACGCUAAUACCGCAUACGAUCUAUGGAUGAAAGCGGGGGAUCGCAAGACCUCGCGCGAUUGGAGCGGCCGAUAUCAGAUUAGGUAGUUGGUGGGGUAAAGGCCCACCAAGCCAACGAUCUGUAGCUGGUCUGAGAGGACGACCAGCCACACUGGAACUGAGACACGGUCCAGACUCCUACGGGAGGCAGCAGUGGGGAAUUUUGGACAAUGGGCGAAAGCCUGAUCCAGCCAUUCCGCGUGCAGGAUGAAGGCCCUCGGAUUGUAAACUGCUUUUGUACAGAACGAAAAGGUUUCUACUAAUACUAGGAGCUCAUGACGGUACUGUAAGAAUAAGCACCGGCUAACUACGUGCCAGCCGCCGCAGUAA